UGAAAAUCUCUAUGUACCUCUCCAUGUGUAGGGUUGGAUUCCCGUCCUUGGUGCCAUAGAACUUGGGGAGAUUCCCUGGAACUGUGGCCACUAAUAGCCCUGCUGGCAUAGCCACGGGCAAACCUCGUGGCCUAACUAAGGGAUCCAAAGCUGGAAGCCACUCCGUCGCCAUCUCGUGAACAAAUCCUUCGACCGCAGGCACAAAGUCCAAGGUCCUAUCCUGUUCUCCUAUUUCCCUAAGGUUCACGUCUCCAAACACUCCGUCUUUAGGGUCUACGUGUUCUAUCUCUAACUCUUCCACUUCCAACUCCUCCAAUAGCUCGCUGCCCCCGACAUCUCCUAAAGCCUUUUCUAAAUUCCUUCUAAUGUCUCCUCCAAGAAAUUCUUCAUUGCUUCUACUAUUAAUGAGUGUAUUCCGAGAAGGGGCUGCUUC
This 433-nucleotide long non-coding RNA is filed under the name Physcomitrium patens. RNAcentral describes it as "long non-coding RNA (PPAT_LNC006128)". The record is from RNAcentral. Lineage: Eukaryota; Viridiplantae; Streptophyta; Bryopsida; Funariales; Funariaceae.